RNAcentral lists this ribosomal RNA (253 nucleotides) under uncultured bacterium. RNAcentral's name for it is "partial 16S ribosomal RNA". It matches the Rfam family "Bacterial small subunit ribosomal RNA", at positions 524 to 776 of the family's 1533-position model. The record is from RNAcentral.
UACGUAGGGUGCGAGCGUUGUUCGGAAUUACUGGGCGUAAAGAGCUCGUAGGCGGUUUGUCGCGUUGUCCGUGAAAACUCACAACUCAAUUGUGGGCGUGCGGGCGAUACGGGCAGACUGGAGUACUGCAGGGGAGACUGGAAUUCCUGGUGUAGCGGUGGAAUGCGCAGAUAUCAGGAGGAACACCGGUGGCGAAGGCGGAUCUCUGGGCCGAUACUGACGCUGAGGAGCGAAAGCGUGGGGAGCGAACAGG